GAGUUUGAUCCUGGCUCAGAAUCAACGCUGGCGGCGUGCCUAACACAUGCAAGUCGAACGAGAAAGUGGAGCAAUCCAUGAGUAAAGUGGCGUACGGGUGAGUAACACGUGACUAACCUACCCUUGAGUGGGGGAUAACCUCGGGAAACCGAGGCUAAUACCGCAUAAUAUCGAAAGAUCAAAGGAGUAAUCCCGCUUUUGGAGGGGGUCGCGGCUGAUUAGCUAGUUGGUAGGGUAAUGGCCUACCAAGGCGAAGAUCGGUAUCCGGCCUGAGAGGGCGCACGGACACACUGGAACUGAAACACGGUCCAGACUCCUACGGGAGGCAGCAGUGGGGAAUUUUGCGCAAUGGGGGAAACCCUGACGCAGCAACGCCGCGUGGAGGAUGAAGCCCCUUGGGGCGUAAACUCCUUUCGACUGGGAAGAUUAUGACGGUACCAGUGGAAGAAGCACCGGCUAACUCUGUGCCAGCAGCCGCGGUAAUACAGAGGGUGCGAGCGUUGUUCGGAAUUAUUGGGCGUAAAGGGCGCGUAGGCGGUAUGGUAAGUCACCUGUGAAACCUCUGGGCUUAACUCAGAGCCUGCAGGCGAAACUGCCAUGCUGGAGGGUGGGAGAGGUGCGUGGAAUUCCCGGU
This 634-nucleotide ribosomal RNA is filed under the name uncultured bacterium. Its description in RNAcentral is "bacterial SSU rRNA". It matches the Rfam family "Bacterial small subunit ribosomal RNA", at positions 9 to 674 of the family's 1533-position model. The record is from RNAcentral.